AGCUAUUGCUAUCGGGAUCCGAUUCAGGCAUGCUAGUCGUACGAGUUCAUACUCGUGGCGUAUAGCUCAGUAACACGUGGUCAAACUACCCUCUGGACUGAGAUACCCUCGGGAAACUGAGGUCGAUCUCGGAUACUGCUUUCACGUUGGAACAACGGAAAGCUGGAAACGGUCCGCCGCCGGAGGACGUGACUGCGGCUGAUUAGGUAGACGGUGGGGUAACGGCCCACCGUGCCAAUAAUCAGUACGGGUUGUGAGAGCAAGAGCCCGGAGACGGAAUCUGAGACAAGAUUCCGGGCCCUACGGGGCGCAGCAGCCGCGAAACCUUUACACUGCACGACAGUGCGAUAAGGGGGUCCCGAGUGCGAGGGCAUACAGUCCUCGCUUUUCGUGACCGUAAGGUGGUCACAGAAUAAGGGCUGGGCAAGACCGGUGCCAGCCGCCGCGGUAAUACCGGCAGCCCGAGUGAUAGCCAAUUUUAUUGGGCCUAAAGCGUCCGUAGCUGGCCGAACAGGUCCGUCGGGAAAUCCACCCGCUUAACGGGUGGGCGUCCGGCGGAAACCAGUCGGCUUGGGGCCGGGAGACCAGAGGGGUACGUCCGGGGUAGGAGUGAAAUCCCGUAAUCCUGGACGGACCACCGGUUGCGAAAGCGCCUCUGGAGAACGGACCCGACAGUGAGGGACGAAAGCUAGGGUCUCGAACCGGAUUAGAUACCCGGGUAGUCCUAGCCGUAAACGAUGCUCGCUAGGUGUGACGCAGGCUACGAGCCUGCGUUGCGCCGUAGGGAAGCCGAGAAGCGAGCCGCCUGGGAAGUACGUCCGCAAGGAUGAAACUUAAAGGAAUUGGCGGGGGAGCACUACAACCGGAGGAGCCUGCGGUUU
RNAcentral lists this ribosomal RNA (881 nucleotides) under uncultured euryarchaeote. RNAcentral's name for it is "bacterial SSU rRNA". It matches the Rfam family "Archaeal small subunit ribosomal RNA", at positions 21 to 903 of the family's 1478-position model. The record is from RNAcentral. Lineage: Archaea; Methanobacteriati; Methanobacteriota.